Long non-coding RNA from Cervus elaphus (red deer), 2946 nucleotides. RefSeq lists it as uncharacterized. The transcript is spliced from 2 exons. The record is from RefSeq and is a predicted model, not a curated record. NCBI's taxonomy places the organism in Eukaryota, Metazoa, Chordata, Mammalia, Artiodactyla, Cervidae.
GCAACCGGGAGGGAGACUGCGGCGCCGUGGUGGCGGCGAUAACUUUUCCGCGCUGUACUCGUGGGCGGAGUGGGGGGUGCGCCUGGCAGGUCCCCCAGCCCUGGGCGAGGGGGAGGGCGCCGCCCCGCGCCCCGCCGCCGGUGGCUGGGGGGACGGCGGGGCCGGUCUGAUGGUGGCGGCCGCGGAGUCAGUCCCGGGGCGCCCCCUUUGGAGCGGGGGAAGGGCGGCCCACCUCUACUCCGUCCCCAAGGGCCCAAGGCGACCCCCCAGCCACUCCCCCGACCCUGGAGAUUCGUGAGAGCGUGCUGGGGAGGGCGGGUCCCAACGCGAAUCGGGGCAGGUCAAGGUGGGUCGGAGUUGGGCGCUGGGUGGGAGGAUAUGUGCCCCCCUCGGGGUGGAGGGAAUGGACAUGGUGUCUCGGCCCCGGGAUUGGGAAGGUAGGUGCCUGUCUGGGCUGUGUGAGUGGGGGUCUCCCAGAGUUCUGUGGAUGCGGGUGGAGGACAGUGCUUCAAGUUCUUGACAUGUCAGCCAGUGUGGGGGUGGGGAGGCCCUCCAGAGGAGAGAAGUGGGGACCCAGUAGUCCAGCCUGGGUUUAAAAGAGGACUAGGGGCACCCCUCUCCUCCCUUCUCACUCCUUCUGGCCCAACUAAGAAGGCUCAUUCAUAGAAAGGGGGCCCACAUCUGGGAGUUUCCUGGAGGGCUGACUCCUCGGCCCUGUGUAGCUUGGGGUUCCUGUGCCCUUGGGGUGCAAGAAGAGGGUGAAAGGGCUCAGACUGAACCCGGACCCCUUCAUCCUAGCGCCAGACUGACCUCUGACCCCAGUGCUGGGCUCCACUGCUACCAAAGCCCCUCAGCCCUACACUGCCUGUCUGGUGCAAGCCAGCCAGGCCCAGACCCAGUGGCUUCCUGAAUGUCUUGGAGGUGCGGUUGGCUCUGUGUCACCUAUCCUUUCUGCCCCAGCUCCAACCAACUGCCUGCUCCUGAUGGGUGGUCUUCGAGGGGGAAGCUGGGACCCUUGGCAUAAGGGUGUCCUCUGGCAGCCCUGCCGAUGCCAGCCCGAGCCGGAGGGCAGUCCCCAACAGGUGCCCGAGCUUAGAGGCGAGGUGAUGGAGGGCACACCCUGUCCGCUCACCCACGCACCGCGCCUGGGCCAGCCCAUGCGCAUGUGUUCACAUGCCGCUGUCCUGGGAAGGCACGGGCCCUAGGGCUCCGUGCCAGCUGUCUUCUAGCGCCCCAGGGGCACCCACUGCCCUCUGUCCUUGCAGGAUGUCCUCUGGGAGCUCCCUCAAGACCCCAGUGGGCGAGCCUUGUCUGUGGGUCUGGAGGGGGCCCCCGAAAUAGCUGCUGGCCUGGCUCUGGGCUGGCACGCGGAGCACAUGCGUGACAGGGCGUGUCCAGGGGGGUCGGGCCUGCCUGUGCCGGCCCGGCCUCUGAGUCUCCGCAGACCCUUGCUCAGUGGAAAGAAACAACAGGGACGGAUGCUCCAAGGGUCCUCUGCGGGACCCCACCCCACCAACCUCUACCUGUUGCAAGUGAAGGCCAGAUGUGUGCGGGCCGCAGCUGUGGGGCAGACCCCUGUCCCCCUGGAAGUCCGAGGGACACUGGCCCAAAGGGUACAGUGGACCUGCUCACCGAGGGCCUAGGUGAUUCUUUGAUAUACCGUGCCAGCUGCUGGCCCUGCCCGGCGCCCUGCCCCUCAACCCUGGUGCCAUGGCCGGCUGGGGUUCCUGGGGAUGGGAUUUGCUGCCUGUCACAAAUCACAUUGCCAGGGAUUUCCAACCGACCCUGAGCCCUGCCUCCGGGGCCACCACUGUCACCGCCACCGCUGAGGACGCUGACCCUGGGGAUGGGGAUGGGGUGGCAGAGAAGCCCCACUGCUUGCAUCUGGCCUGGGGAGCAGGGCUUAGCUGCUUGUGAGCAGGUCCACAUCAAGUCGUGUUCACAGUGGCUAAGUUCCGCCCCCCCAGGGCCCUGCCGCCUCCUCUGGCCCUGCCACCUCUCCCCCUCUGCUGCCUGGCCAACCUCGGGCCUUCCCUGGGCUCUGCCUCCCGUGCCUACUGAGCUGAAACACAGUUGAUUUGUGCACACUGGCUCAGUUCAGCAGGAACAGGAGUCCAGCCCCCUUGGAGUCUGCUAUGGCCCCUUCCCUCCUUGGGUGGGCCAGUCGCUGCCUGGGGGAAGAAAUGAGGACCCUGCUGGCCUGGGACCUGGGUCCGGAGGAGGAACCUGGGGAUGGGUGGGGCCUGGGAUGGGGUGGGUGAACCCAGCUGUCUGCUGCAGCCCCCUCCUCCAAUUUCUGCACUCGGGGACUGGCCCCCGCCCCCAGUCCCAACUCAAGACUGGGCUGUGCUCCCAGGGAGAAUGAGCAGACAGGCGGGUGGCUGGCUGGCUGGCCCUUCCAUGAAGAAAGGAAGCCAGAUGUGUCCUUGCCUGGCCGACCCUCGGCCCCUCCUCAUCCAAACCUGGUGGGGGCCUGGCUGGUCUGCAUCUUGCCAGCAGCCAGUUACCCAAGAGGAAGCUGCCUUGGGCCCCCCAGACCGUUAAAUGCCAACUCCGGGCUUCCGGAACCAGGCUGGCCUGACCUGAACCUGCCUGGCCCCUUCUCUCUGGGCCCUGUGGCUUCCGAACUUGGGGGGAGGGGCCAUGGCACCCUCCUGGCACAUGGGGUGGUGAAUGAGGUCCCUGUAGGCCCAGAGGACACAAGCAGGCCUGCUCAGUCCUUGGGUGGGUCCAGGGCAUGGAAGAGUUAAGACUGUAUCCAUCAUCAGAUGGAAUAGGGCUCUUCUAGGGGUGAAACUAGGGAUGUAGAGUGAAGCCCCCCAAGCUGUCAAGAGUUGGCUCAGUGUACCCCUCCUCCAUCGGAGCAGGGGCAGACAGCAGCUUGGGGAGGUCUCUGCUGUGUCUUGAGCCUGCUGUCCAGUUAAAUAAAAGCUGCCCCCUGCCUUA